Molecule: ribosomal RNA, 206 nt
Filed under: uncultured bacterium
Lineage: Bacteria
Description: partial 16S ribosomal RNA
Rfam family: Bacterial small subunit ribosomal RNA
Source: RNAcentral
UGCGUAGGUGGUUACCUAAGCGCAAGGUUUAAAUUAGAGGCUCAACCUCUACAUGCCUUGCGAACUGGGCUACUUGAGUGCAGGAGGGGAAAGCGGAAUUCCUAGUGUAGCGGUGAAAUGCGUAGAUAUUAGGAGGAACACCGGCGGCGAAGGCGGCUUUCUGGACUGUAACUGACACUGAGGCACGAAAGCGUGGGUAGCAAACA